This 1020-nucleotide long non-coding RNA is filed under the name Salmo salar (Atlantic salmon). Its description in RNAcentral is "lncRNA (ENSSSAG00000114718.1)". Lineage: Eukaryota; Metazoa; Chordata; Actinopteri; Salmoniformes; Salmonidae. The record is from RNAcentral.
GAAUCCCCCAGCCUCCCCGUUAGUAACCACCUGUAAUUGGAUUGAAUCCCCCAGCCUCCCCGUUAUAACCACCUGUAAUUGGAUUGAAUCCCCCAGCCUCCCGUUAGUAACCAGGAUGUUGGUAAGUCAAUGUGUUCGGCGUCUCGCUCAGGGAAGGUCUAGUUACUGUAGAUCCAAUCAGAUGGGGGUUUUCAGCUGACGUUUUGACAGCGGAGGAGCGGCGUUAAUAAGAGCCGUCCAGAGGGGCUCCUGGGGUUUAUCCGAUGGCUGCACGGAGCGGCGUUAAGAUAAAUCCUGGUCUCGCUUAGUUUGGAUAGUCAUUCUCUGUUUUAAAUGUUUGUUUAACCUUUAACCAGGCAAGUCAGUUAAGAACAAAUUCUUAUUAUUUACAAUGACGGUCUACCGGGGAACAGUGGGUUAACUGCCUUGUUCAGGGGGCAGAACGACAGAUUUGUACCUUGUCAGCUCGGGGAUUCGAUCUUGCAACCUUUCGGUUACUAGUCCAACGCGCUAAACUAACCACUAGGCUACGCUGCCGUCCCUGUUGAUAAGCAACUAGUUAAGGUCAGCAGAAGGAUUUACAUGUAGCCUUGUAAAACACCUCGAUUAGGCUGUUAGGAAAACCUCUGAUUUUCAAAUCUGAGCGUCUUUAUUUUCUAGAUAUCCUACACUUUCUCCUUCCGAGCGUCUUUAUUUUCUAGAUAUCCUACACUUCCUCCUUCUGAGCGUCUUUAUUUUCUAGAUAUCCUACACUUUCUCCUUCCGAGCGUCUUUAUUUUCUAGAUAUCCUACACUUCCUCCUUCCGAGAGUCUUUAUUUUCUAGAUAUCCUACACUUCCUCCUUCCGAGCGUCUUUAUUUUCUAGAUAUCCUACACUUCCUCCUUCUGAGCGUCUUUAUUUUCUAGGUAUCCUACACUUUCUCCUUUGAGAGUUUUAACGCCAGUAGGACAGGGUUAAAACGCUUGAUCUGAUGUUGUAAUUUUGACUGAUAAUAAAAAACGUACUGUGUUUUAUAACAA